This 274-nucleotide ribosomal RNA is filed under the name uncultured bacterium. Its description in RNAcentral is "partial 16S ribosomal RNA". It matches the Rfam family "Bacterial small subunit ribosomal RNA", at positions 523 to 796 of the family's 1533-position model. The record is from RNAcentral.
AUACGGAGGGUGCAAGCGUUGUUCGGAAUUACUGGGCGUAAAGCGCGCGUAGGCGGCUACUUAAGUCAGAUGUGAAAUCCCCGGGCUCAACCUGGGAACUGCAUCUGAUACUGGGUAGCUAGAGUUUUGGAGAGGGAAGUAGAAUUUCAGGUGUAGCGGUGAAAUGCAUAGAGAUCUGAAGGAAUACCAGUGGCGAAGGCGACUUCCUGGCCAAAAACUGACGCUGAGGUGCGAAAGCGUGGGUAGCAAACGGGAUUAGAAACCCCUGUAGUCC